UGGGGAAUAUUGCACAAUGGAGGGAACUCUGAUGCAGCGACGCCGCGUGAACGAAGAAGGCUUUCGAGUCGUAAAGUUCUUUUAUAUGGGAAGAUAAUGACGGUACCAUAAGAAGAAGCCCCGGCUAUCUACGUGCCAGCAGCCGCGGUAAUACGUAGGGGGCUAGCGUUGUCCGGAAUCACUGGGCGUAAAGGGUUCGCAGGCGGAAAUGCAAGUCAGGUGUAAAAGGCAGUAGCUUAACUACUGUAAGCAUUUGAAACUGCAUAUCUUGAGAAGAGUAGAGGUAAGUGGAAUUUUUAGUGUAGCGGUGAAAUGCGUAGAUAUUAAAAAGAAUACCGGUGGCGAAGGCGACUUACUGGGCUCAUUCUGACGCUGAGGAACGAAAGCGUGGGUAGCAAACAGG
RNAcentral lists this ribosomal RNA (403 nucleotides) under bacterium. Its description in RNAcentral is "partial 16S ribosomal RNA". It matches the Rfam family "Bacterial small subunit ribosomal RNA", at positions 355 to 776 of the family's 1533-position model. The record is from RNAcentral.